Molecule: long non-coding RNA, 1391 nt
Organism: Daphnia pulicaria
Lineage: Eukaryota; Metazoa; Arthropoda; Branchiopoda; Diplostraca; Daphniidae
Exons: 7
Source: RefSeq, a predicted model, not a curated record
GUCUCAACACGCCGCGGCGGUACUUACCGCCGCCUGACGGGACAACCACCGCGGCGGUACGUACUGCCGCGGCAAAUAAUUUCCCCAAGAUCACAGCGCCACUCGGUGGCGGCAGGCCGGUAGCUUUUCUUAAAGUAAGUGCUCUGAAAAUGGAUCAACCUCCUGAAGACCCAGAUUUAAAUGAGUCGAAAAAGAAAGAUGAAAAGAACGCCAAAAAGAUAUUGCAGCGGUUGGGUGAGCCUAAUAGAGGUUCAAACCUCAGACAACAAUCAAAUCUUUCAUUUUUCAAGCCCAAAGCUUCUCCCUGUUCUAAAACCCACAAGCCAAACUCUAGUUCAUGUAGGUAGAUGGCAUCAAAUCAAAUAACAACGUACCUAACAAGAUGAUUUUCCACCUGCGGAUGUAGAAGCUGCUGGUCAUCCAGCAGCUGCACCGCUGGAAGGCUUGGACUUGUUUCAGAAUGUUACGAAUCCAACUGAAACUACUGUUGAUGUUGAUGAGAUGAGGUAAAAAAUAAUGGAAAAUGUGAUGAUUGACAUUCAAAAAGCAGCAGACAUACAAAAUGAUGCUUUUACUAAAGUGGUAGAAAAGGAAAGGGAACUCAGGAAAGAAAGACUGAAAGGCAAAGAAUGGCAGUCAAGAAAUGAAGCUCUUCAUGGAGCUUGGACAACAGAAAUACGGACUAUUUUCGUUAAUGCCCAACUCAAGAGGAGAAGUCAGUUUCAUAGUGUGUGCACUGUGUGCAAGAAAAGUGGCCGAAUCCUCGUAUGCUGUUAUGAUUGUAAGCAACAUUUAUGCUGGGAAUGUGAUUAUGCAUUCCAUUUUUUCAAUCCACUUCAUGCCAGAGUUUAUAAAACAAGUAAAAACUACUCAACUGAGCAACUAUUACCAACCGAGUUUAUGAACGAGUUUGGUCAAAAAAUUGAGAAAGACGUUCCUGUAACUUGCUUCCCUCCUUCCAGGUGUUGGAGUUGUAGCUGGACACUUGUGUAUUAAAUACCGGAACCAACGAUGUUAUACUGUUAUCACAGUUAAAAAGGAAGGUUCGAUUUAAAGUCUGCCAGUUUCAGCUGCACUUCUUGCGUGUAGGGAGGCCCUCGAUGAAGAGUACGUUUAUUCAGAAUGGCUACCAGGCAAACCAGGAAAGGAUAAGGAAGAACCUGCUAAUCUCUUUUUUGAUGAACAUCUUUUGGAUACCUGUACGAAAUUCAAAACAAUACUCCUGGAACAUCACAAGAAAUGUUUCUGAGAAGUCUUUCUCAAAUGUCUACUCAAAAUGGCCAGCCAAGUUACAUCAAUCCAAUUCUGUUUUUUAAAGCCUAUGAUGAGAAUAAUCUAAUGAAGUGCAUUCAUCUCGUUCAGUUCUUACAAUAAUAAAUCAGUGAACAAUU